CGUCAAAUAGCAUUUUCCGGCGGUCCUCUUCUCCAGCGCUCUUCCCUUGCCCUCGGCGGCCGGAGCCGGAGAGGCCAACUUCCACCAACUUGUUCCACUCCGGCCAGCCACAGUUGAACCCCCUCCACGCCAACACAGCUCGCAUUCACCAUCGCAGCCGCCCGUUCUCCCGACUCCCGCCCGACUCGACGGCCUCGGUCGAUCGGUCCUCUGCUCGCCUCACGCCAUGCCCACCUCCCGCACGACGGAAUGCCGAACCCGGACCCGCCGCUGCCCCCUUCCCUCUUCAACUCCCUCAUCGCCUCCCGCGCCCGCGCCGGCCGCGCGGCCGACGCCUUCUCGCUGCUCGCGCGCAUGCUCGCCGCGGGCGUCGCCCCGACCGCGUUCACCUUCGCGCCGAUCCUCUCCUCGCCCUCCGUGUGCCCCCGCCGCGCCGCGCAGCUGCACCCGCACAUCCUCAAGCGCGGCCUGCUCCAUAGCGACCCGUACUCCGGGACGGUGCUGCUGGGCUUCUUCGCGCGGCACGGACGGUUCGGCGAGGCGCUCGACCUGUUCGGCGAAAUGCCCGCACGGAGCGUCGUCACCUGGAACUGUCUCGUCUCUUCGUUCGCGCAGCAUGGGCAUGUCCAGGACGCCGUGUUUUGGUUCAGGGAACUCGUGAGGAGCAGCGAUGGCUUGUCUGAAGGCUCUCUCGUUGCGGUCUUUCCUGCACUUGUGUCACCGGACCCAGUUCAUGGGCUUGCCAUCAAAACCGCAAUGGAUUCCUUCUCGGCAGUUGCUAACUCGUUGCUGAAUUGUUACUGUACUUGUGGCACAGUUUGCGCGGCAGAGAAGCUAUUUAAUGGUUUGAUGUUCAGAGAUGUGGUUUCGUGGAAUACAAUGAUCACUGCUUUCGCUAGGAGUAACUUCCCAGGGAGAGCUUUUGAGCUUUUCUCAGCGAUGCAUCAUCAGGGUGUUUCUCCAGAUGAAACUACAUUUUCCAGUGUUCUUUACGCUGGCACCAGUAUAAAUGCACAGGAGCAUGGGAAGUCUGUUCACGCCAAAUCUAUCAAGCAUAACCUCAACACGACAGUAUUUGUGAGUACUUCACUGGUUGAUUUCUACAACAAAUGUGUUAGUAGGAGGGACGCUCUUAAAGUACUCAAAGAGGUUCCUCAUAAGAGCACUGCAUGUUGGAAUGCUCUGCUUUCUAUCAAGUCAGAUGGUGAUUUUCCAACUCUGUUUAUGAUUCUGAGAGAUAUGUUGCAAUCAGGGAUUAGCCCAAAUGAAUUUACCUUUUCUUCCUUGCUCAAGGAUCCAUCACUGUUGGAUGUGCAUCAGAUUCACUCAUUGGUCAUAAAACUGGGUUAUGACGGUAAUGACUAUGUUUCAAGUGCUAUUAUAUCUUCCUAUGUCUCACAUGGCUUUGUUUCUGAUGCCCUCGCUUAUGGAGUUACAUUGGAUCCUGACUCCUGUAAUGUCUCCAUGAAUGUUUUAGCUGGGGCAUAUAAUAGAGCUCACAUGUACCAAGAGACCAAGGAGCUACUCUUACAUCCGAAAACGAGUGAUACUAUUUCAUGGAGCAUACUUAUUACUGCUUGUGCAAGGAAUGGUGAUUAUGCUGAAGCUUUUGGACAUUUCAGACAGAUGAGAAUUUUGGGGCAUCAUUUUGAUAACUAUGUAGCUGUGAGCUUGCUGAGUAUUUGUACAAAAGUUAACAGCCUUGUUCUUGGUAGGCUGGUGCAUGGGGUAAUCACCAAGACCAGUUAUGGGUGCUCAGACACUCGUACUAAUAAUAUGUUGCUAGAUAUGUAUGCUAAAUGUGGUAGAAUUGAAGACUGUCUGAAAGCCUUUGAGGAAAUGGAAGAUAGGAACGUAAUCUCAUGGACAGCUGUGAUUUCAGGCCUUGCACUUAACGGUUUUUCUCGUAAGGCCCUGGCAUGGUUUAAAGCUAUGGAAGGGGCUGCUGUCAAACCUGACAAGGUAGCAAUUCUGGCAGUCCUUUCAGCUUGUAGACAUGGAGGACUUGUGCAGAAGGGAAUGGAGAUAUUCAAACGUAUGGAAGCUGAUUACUCAACUGAAGCUGGGAUGGAGCAUUACAUUUGUGUGGUGGACAUGCUAUGCAAGUGUGGUCAUUUAAAGCAAGCUGACUCUGUGAUUAGAGGCAUGCCUUUCCGCCCGAGUACUAUUAUUUGGCGCACAUUCAUCCAAGGAUGCAAUACAUAUGGCAUGCUAGAUACUCAAGUGUUUAGCUAGUGAUGGUCUUGGUAAACAAUGGAGGUGGGUGUUUUCUCACAUGAAUUCAGAAAAUGGUUGUUGCCAAAUUAAUAUUUAGACCAUACUAGAUAUCAAAUGAAUUUUGGUUGCACAUAGUGUUGAUAUUGUUACAGUAAUGUAAGCUACUCCCUCCGUAAACUAAUAUAAGAGCGUUUAGAAUACUAAAGUAGUGAUCUAAACGCUCUUAUAUUAGUUUACAGAGGGAGUAUCAUUUAAUUCAUAUGUUUGAACAACCUAGUAAUGGAGGAUAUGUGAUUGCUGGGCACCUUUAUCAACCACUUCACCUCUUUUGUUCGCUCCAUUAUAUCUAUGAUGAAGGGUGUUGAUUGGAAACGUCCUCAUUUGAUGAAUCUUUUCUGGUUGGUGGUUCAUUGUGGGUCGGCAUUUCUUUGCUCCCUUCCAUAGUUCCUUUGGUUUGGCUUUGUGUUCUGUCAUCAUCUAGUGGCUAACUACAGAAGGAAAAUGCCUUGCUCUUUCUGCAUGGUGUUGCAAACUAGCAAGAGGUGUUCCGCGUCCAUGUUGUUACCUUCAUGGUCAGAAUUGUGCAACAUGGAGGAGGAGAAAAGGAUGGCUUCUAUUCCAGUUGACCUGAAUAUGUGGCCCUUAAAGAUCCAACCUCCAUAUGGUCAAUGAAAUGUUCACUUUGGCAGUUAGAAUUUGAAACUGGUCGUCAUUCUUUGUGAAAGUUGCAAAGGUGGUGUGAAGGUCCACAAAGAAAAAUGGAAGUGUGUACCUAGUUAGAAAUAUCUGAAGAAAUAUUGUACAGUGACUGAAUUCAAUUAUUCAGGCAAAAGGAGAGUAAAAGGAGAAAGGCUGUUCUUGAAAUACCAAGGUGUGGUAGCCACUUGCAGCCUAUGAAAAUGUGAAAAAUGACAGGAACGUGUUCAGUAAGAUCCCCUCCUAUUUACUAUGCUUGACUUGUGAAUCUAAUUGAUGGUGAUCUGCAUGAUCAUACCAGACCAAUGCAUUUAUAAUGAUUAGUAUAGUGAGGCUGCUGUCACCAGGUGUGUUUCCUGCUCAAUGAGUAUCUGAAACGUGGAUUCCUUUUUCAUAAACAAGUUCUUGUGAGGCGCCUCUUAGCAUCAUGGAUUAGUCAGCCAAGGUCGUUAGGCUGUGGCAAAUCGGUUGCAAAGAUGAUAAAGUACGAGUCAGCACAGAGGCAUUAACUAAUUAUCAGAGGUACACAGGCUUUUGACGAAGCAUGCACAUUAGUAGCAAAAUAUGGGUUAUAUAAUACCGAAGCAUGGGCUUAUAUUGGCUAUUGCUUUUCAUUCCACUAGGCAUUGUCUACGUAGCUCCAACGGUUCGCGUUUACUAAUUGAAUGAUGACCAGGCACUGUUGUCCUGGUACUAUAAAGGUGAUCUGGUCAAAGAAUUCAAAGCAUUAUCUAAUCCAAUGGCUGGUGGGUUGAGAUAUCAUGACCUCCGUAUCAAGCUGGGAUUGCAAAGAUUGACAGUUGAAGGAAGAUCUAGCUUUACUAGAUAGUACAUGUCUAACGAUUUUAAAUUCUGAUUAAUUUUGGUUGCUGCCAUAUCUUAUGCGUGUUGCAAGGUACUUAGUGUAUCUCUGAAUUGUAGGCAGAUAAACUGGCAUUGUCCUUGGUACGACACCUUGAUGCAGAUUGCAACUGUGACUACUGACUGAUGUCUACCUGCAUAUCGUCACAAUUUGUUCUCUGUGACUGGAAAAUGCACACCUAAGGUAGGAGCUCUCCCUCCACGGAGCUUACUGGAUUCUCGGUGUGAACAUUGGUUUGGUUCAAAAGAAUUUCGUAGGAAUUCUGGAGGACUCAAUUCUGUAGAAAUUUUCCUAAAGAGCUUGUUACCUUCUUAGGAUUAGAAACCAUAGGAACUUUUCCCAUGGUCUACUUUGUAUACAAUUUCAAAGAAAAAAUCCCAUUAAGCCCACCACAUUGAUAUUUUCUUUGUCUCUAUGAUAACUAUGCCAUGCACCUAAUACUACAGAAAAAUUCUUGCAUUUUUACUGUGGUGCUACCAACAGCUUCUAUCACUAACUUGUGUGUUUUAAUUUCCCUAGGAUUCAGUAUUUUAUGCCAUCUUGUCUAUAUUCUUCUUUCAUCUGAUGGUCUAGAUACUAGAAUGAUGAAGUCAGUGACAUCACAAUGUAACGUCAAAAGAUGUGGUGCCGUGGGGACUAUUUGGUCCAUAGGAUUCUAAGACCGCAGAAAUAGGGAAAAUUGAUGGUUGAGAUCCAUCCAAUGGUAGAAUGCUCUAGGUCUGUACCAUUGCUAUUGUUUUUUUUUUCAACAAUCUUUUUUUGUUAACCAUCUCUUUGAUCAAUGUUGAAUAUAUCAUUGGUGUGAAUUUUCCACCAUGUGUUCUGGAUAACUUAAUUGAAGUUUAUAAAUUCAUGACAUGGCAGUGGUGACAUGUUAGGCAUAAGUCAGUGCCUAAAGAAAGUUCCACUUCACUACUGAGCAUGCCAUUGGCAACAGGGCAUCACUCAGUUGUCUAGAGCUGAAGGUGCUCUCCCAGCCCAGCCCACCCUGGUUCAAGGGAUGCUUAACCUCCCUGGUGCUCGUGGUAACCUUUUGUACUCCCUCCGUUCACUUUUAUAAGUCGUUUCGGACAACUGAAAUUGAGCUGUUUUGCAGUUGUCUCAAAUUUCUACAACGUCUUAUAAAAGUGAACAGGGUAAAUCAAAAUGCUGCGGGUGCUGCUUAGGAGGUUCUGUAUGUACAUAUUCUGCCUUUGUUCAAUUUGGACGUCAACUCUCCCUUGACCAUUGAUUUCAGACGUUAUCAAGAAAAGUAUUUAAUAUAUGAUGGUAUGUCAUGACUUUUGUUGCCAAAUUCGGUACAGUAGCAUAUUAUCCAUUUGGAAAACUUGAAGAGUUUCUUUUU
Molecule: RNA transcript, 5120 nt
Organism: Triticum aestivum (bread wheat)
Lineage: Eukaryota; Viridiplantae; Streptophyta; Magnoliopsida; Poales; Poaceae
Gene name: pentatricopeptide repeat-containing protein At3g58590
Exons: 2
Source: RefSeq, a predicted model, not a curated record